This is a long non-coding RNA of Lolium perenne, 1176 nucleotides long. RefSeq lists it as uncharacterized. NCBI's taxonomy places the organism in Eukaryota, Viridiplantae, Streptophyta, Magnoliopsida, Poales, Poaceae. The record is from RefSeq and is a predicted model, not a curated record.
GCCCAUUCCAUCCUUCCUCCGAUGCCCACAGCCCACGUCAGUCGGUGUCCAGCACCGGAGUAUCUCCGGAGACCGGACGUUCGUCGUUCCUCGUCGACGCUGCCGUGCGCCGGCCGCGGAGGAAUGGCCGUCGCCAGGGACGACGACAACCCUACACACAGGGGCGCCAGGAGAUGGCGCUCGUCAACGUCCGACCUCGACGACUGCGCGCCGGGUCGCCUCGCUGCAGGACGAGCUUCGUCCGCGGCAUUUCCGACGCCACCUCCACUCGUCCCGUCCAGUGGAAGCCUCGGCUCGGCUGCCUCCCCAGUGAGCGCUUCUGUGGCAUGGAUGCCCCAUGGUAAAUUCUAUGAUAAAUGAUUCACAGUCUUUAGCUACAUAUCAGUUCUUGGUGACAACUCACAGAGAGUACGCCACCUGUCAAAUUCGCCGAUCAGUUUCUUCAAUUAAGGAAGAAAAUAUCAACAUGGACCAUUCUGAGGUAUGAUCUGAUGUUAUAUUUAUGAGGAUAGAUUGAUUUUACAUUUAUUAUAUAUGCCAUAAGUUGCCUUUUUACAUGUAAAGAACACCACUGGAGACUGGGUAAAACAUUAAGUAGACACCAGACAAGCAUGCACGGUUAGAUUAACAUCAGAAGAUUAAUUAGCAUAAAAAUUAUAACCCAUAGAAAGAGUGAAAGACAGAUACAUAAAAGCAUAAAAAACAAUUCCAUUCGGUGGCGAAGGAGCGACGGAUCAAAUUGUUGGACAGCUCACUGUGUGGCACCAUGUAGGCCGACUGUCGUUCCUCUGCGCCACCAGGUCAGCUUGUGUUUAUUCAAUCUGUUCAACUGAACGCGAGAUCCCCUAACGCUUGCUUGGGUCCCACUCUUUUGAUUUGUAGCUGCUCCUUUUGUACAGCUUUAUUGCGUGCCCCACUCCAGUUUGUUGGAAGCAAAUCAUGAAUCAAUCCUCGCUGGUUGGUACCCAUGGUAGGCCACCCAUCAAGUGCCCUCAGGCCUUAGCCGAGGAAAAAGAACCAACACCGACCAUCUCUGAGUUGCUUCACCACAGACUUGAAGAAACGUCGAGGGGCAGUGACUUCGAAUUUUUUUAUGUAGCUUCUGGUUUGAUCAAUUUUUUUGUUCAUGUGUAAUUUUUUUUGAAAAAGUGUUCAUGGUUAAUUCGAUUGUUGGUU